UCGAAGCCUAGAAAGCACGACCGCGAACUAGUUCAAAAUCGAGGCAACAUUGGGAGGUCCUUGGGCCUCUCUCUUUUGUCCUUGCUCGGAGGGCUGGGAGCCUAGGCUCCUGUCAUUCGAAACUUAACGAACCCCGGCGCGAACAGCGCCAAGGAAUCAAAACGAAAGAGCUUGUUCGGUCGACCCGUCCUUGGGCCGGCGUCGGACAUGGUCUGUUCAUUAUAAUCAUAACGACUCUCGGCAACGGAUAUCUCGGCUCUCGCAUCGAUGAAGAACGUAGCGAAAUGCGAUACUUGGUGUGAAUUGCAGAAUCCCGUGAACCAUCGAGUCUUUGAACGCAAGUUGCGCCAGAAGCCUUUAGGCCAAGGGCACGUCUGCCUGGGCGUCUCGCACUGCGAUGCCCCCCGCAAACAAGCGUGGUGGCAAAACUUGGCCUCCCGUGAGUCCAUCUCGCGGAUGGCUUAAAAUUGAGCCUCGAGACGGUCAGACGUCGCGACGAGUGGUGGUUAAGAGGCCUUUGGCCUACUUGCUUUACAAGUCGGACGCUACCAUUUCGUUUUGCUCGAAUUUAACCCCCAAGGAGUGCGUCUCUGCACUCUUAGCAUC
RNAcentral lists this unclassified non-coding RNA (606 nucleotides) under Sedum sp. 5 VN-2014. RNAcentral describes it as "sequence contains ITS1, 5.8S rRNA gene and ITS2". The stretch from base 233 to 388 matches the Rfam family "5.8S ribosomal RNA". The record is from RNAcentral. Lineage: Eukaryota; Viridiplantae; Streptophyta; Magnoliopsida; Saxifragales; Crassulaceae.